Molecule: ribosomal RNA, 432 nt
Filed under: uncultured bacterium
Lineage: Bacteria
Description: partial 16S ribosomal RNA
Rfam family: Bacterial small subunit ribosomal RNA
Source: RNAcentral
ACGAACGCUGGCGGCAGGCUUAACACAUGCCAGUCGAGCGCAUCCUUCGGGGUGAGCGGCGGACGGGUGAGUAACGCGUGGGAACGUGCCCUCUUCUACGGAAUAGCCUCGGGAAACUGAGAGUAAUGCCGUAUACGCCCGCAAGGGGAAAGAUUUAUCGGAGGAGGAUCGGCCCGCGUUGGAUUAGGUAGUUGGUGGGGUAACGGCCUACCAAGCCGACGAUCCAUAGCUGGUUUGAGAGGAUGAUCAGCCACACUGGGACUGAGACACGGCCCAGACUCCUACGGGAGGCAGCAGUGGGGAAUCUUGGACAAUGGGGGCAACCCUGAUCCAGCCAUGCCGCGUGAUCGAUGAAGGCCUUAGGGUUGUAAAGAUCUUUCAGCUGGGAAGAUAAUGACGGCACCAGCAGAAGAAGCCCCGGCUAACUCCGUG